This 804-nucleotide ribosomal RNA is filed under the name Triticum aestivum (bread wheat). RNAcentral's name for it is "partial small subunit ribosomal RNA". Lineage: Eukaryota; Viridiplantae; Streptophyta; Magnoliopsida; Poales; Poaceae. The record is from RNAcentral.
AUGGACGGCCAUAUCAUCAAGGUGAUCAAAAACGCUGAUUCAAUUGUAAGGUUUGUUUGCAGCAGCCCUGGCAGCCUAAUGUGCGUCGUCGGCUAUUCGUCGGAGAAAGUGAAUGUGCUCAACCUUGCUAUCGGAGAGGCUACUGUGAUUCACCUCAAAUUUAGCUUUAUGGGCUUCGGCCGCGCCGCCCCGUCGGGCGCCUACAAGAUGGUCAGCAUAAAUCCCAGCAGCUGUGAGAUCCUCACGGUAGGGGAUGGCGUGGGCUGGAGGCAAAUGCAGCCGCUGCCCAACAAUAUGUCGUAUAAUAGUUCCCCUGUCGUGGUCAAGGGUGUCAUGUACUUGAUGUUAGCUUCGCAGCUGAACGGGGACAACGUGAUCUGCUUCGAUCUGGAGAGCAAGGAGUGGAAGGGGGGAAUCAAAGGCCCACCGAAUAUCCAACUUCACCGGUUUGACAUUACCUUGGAGGAACUCAACGGGGCCCUGUGUAUGCUCCAGCCGGAGGUAGGAAACGUUUACCAUGGAACCAUGAGCAUAUGGCUCCUAAUCGAUUCCCGCAAGGGGGUCUGGAUCAAGGUUUACUCAAUCCCUGUGGACCCGUCUGCGUAUAGUCCCAUCAUGCCUUUGAGAAUAUUACAUGAUAACGGUAAACUACUCUUCUAUGUCACGCGUAAAUUCGAUGAAUUCGCGGUGCUGCAAAUCUAUGACCCUCGUCAUCGGACAUUCACGGACGCGCCCAAGAUGCUCGCGGGUGACAACGGUGGCAGUAUCAACCUUUGCAGCGUGCACUUGGAUAGUUUUCUUUGA